Long non-coding RNA from Scatophagus argus, 969 nucleotides. RefSeq lists it as uncharacterized. The record is from RefSeq and is a predicted model, not a curated record. The transcript is spliced from 3 exons. NCBI's taxonomy places the organism in Eukaryota, Metazoa, Chordata, Actinopteri, Scatophagidae.
CACACACACACGGAGCGUCAGCAUUUAACCUGCACAGUCACAUCUUCACAGGUGUGACUUCCUUUAACUGUGACAGUAAACACAGACAAACUCCCGUCUUCAGCUGGUUGGGCCUCGUCACUUCAGGUGUCGUGUUUGGAUAUUUUUUUGUUGGCAAAGAGAAGCAAACUCACCUUCCAUAUUUUGACGAAGCUCAAAAGUUCAGAUGAAGUGAAAUGACAGAAAGGAGGACUUCGGCCUGCGUGUCUCCAGACGCAGAGAACGAAUGAAUGAACGAAUGAACGAGCGAGUGCAGCUGAUGAAACGGCGGUGCGGCGACAAGAAGGACACGGAGCUCAGUUAAUCUGCCUGCAGUCGUCCAUCAAACCGAAGCGCAGCACAACCUUUCUCACCGCUUGAUGCUCUGUUGUGGAGCCGAGCGUCGGCUCCUGCCGGGGUGCAGCAUCGAUCAGCUGGAUCCCACACACAAAUUCACAUCUCAAGUCUGAGGCAGCAACGCCAACAUGACAAAUAGGACCAGUAAAAUUUAAAUGUCUGCAAGCCCUUCAAACAAGCUUCUGCCAGAGACUUUCUUCUUCCUUUAUGUCUUCACACUGCAAACAUCUUCAGGAUGUCAUGCUUUUGUUUGGAUGGUUUGUUGACUUAUUCACUGUAAUCUGAACUGGGGGUUUGAACUGAGGACCAAGUGUAGUUGGGCGGAGUCGCUCCUGUACGGUCACCUGCCUGCACACCUGUUCCUCGUCUGCCUCCAAUCACUCAGCACUGCCCCUGGAUAAGUAAGACCGGCUGUUCCUCGCCUCCCUGGCCAGGAUCGUCUCGAUCCUCCUGUCUGCCCUGCUUGGCUCUGUCUCUGGACUGGACCUCACCUGCUGACUGGUUAUCUGCCUGUUUUGUUUUCCGUUCUUGCGAACUAUUUCCAUGUUUUGUACUGAAUAUCUCCACUAAAAACUUUAUUAAUCGUUUACCUGA